This is a long non-coding RNA of Anthonomus grandis grandis, 846 nucleotides long. RefSeq lists it as uncharacterized. The record is from RefSeq and is a predicted model, not a curated record. Lineage: Eukaryota; Metazoa; Arthropoda; Insecta; Coleoptera; Curculionidae. The transcript has 4 exons.
ACGUGCAAUUAUUUGCUAGUCUCACUGCUUUUUUUCAUUCAAAACUGAAAUCUAUAUCUAUGUUGUAUCUAGACAAAAGAUCUGAUGGAUAGUAGCAGUGAGUUUUGAAAGGAGGCUAGUGAAUUCAGUGAUCACGAAACAGACAGGGACGUGUGUGAAGUGAAUCUUAGCUUACUCGAGAGAUGCGUUUUAUGGCAAAAAGUGGGCUAAAACUCUUCCCGCUUCUUCUCGUACACGAAACCAGAGUGUUGUAUCUUUUGUUCCUAAGAAAAAUCGUGUGGUGUGGUUAGUAUCGGUAUGCAUCAUUCCAAUAUAAUGAUUCAUGGAAAGCCAGACAUUGUAAAUGUUUACAGUCAGGCAAAAGGUGGGGUGGACUCAAUGGAUCAGAAAUGUGCAUGCUACAAAACUGGCAAAAAAACUCGUAGAUGAUCUCAAGUAAUAUGGUUUUACAUUUUGGACAUUGCAGAAGGCAAGAACUUAUUAGGGCUCAUUUGACUUGCAGAGUUCAGCAAAUAAAUGUUUCAUGUUUACCGAGAGAACUUUGUGGUUUAAUUUUUAAAGUUUCCGGAAUUCAAGAACCAGUGCCUGCCGCUUAUCCAGAUCCACAACUAGGAAAAAAGGGGGGAAGAUGUAAAACAUGUCCAUAUUUAAAAAAACAAAGAAGGAGAGCUCAACGUGCGAUAACCGUCGACAAUUUAUUUGCAAAAAUCAUGCCUGAACGAAGAUGGUAUGCAGCGUUGAAAAGUAGCAGUUAGAAUCCCUAAAAUUUACCAGUGGAUACAAAAAAUUGCAGUUUUUGCAAUUGCAAUUUUUUUUAUUUUCUUAAUAAAGUUAUCACAAUUAAGC